GCUCACCUUGCCUUUGAGAGUGACCACUCAGGCAUGAGCUGUUUAAGACGAGAACAGGAGUGGGAAAUGGGGUGACGGGGACACCACAAUACUUCACAAACCUGUUAACUCAGUGGGACAACACAAAACAGAUCAUAAUGACAAAAGAAAGUCCAGGUCACAAGCUGACAGAGUCUGUGAUUAUCAGCUCUUCAUCCUCAAUGACCAAAAGCAGGAAAGCAAGACAGCAAGGACAGUGACUGUGCCCUCUGCGGCAGCUUGAAGGGUCUGGAUAAAUCUUUUUUUAAAUGUUAUUGUCCAACCAGGGAUGCUUGGGAGUAAAUCAAGUGAUGCAGCCUGGUGAGCAGCAGAAAGCAUGUGCUGACUUAGAGGGCCGCAGCAUCUCAGUGUGGGUAUUCCUGAAACCCGAGGCUCAGUGCUGAGCUUCCUCAGAAAGCACAAAGGUGACUGGUGAAAUUAAUAUAACAUUGCCUCGCCUGCAGACUAUUGAUUCUGCCUCAUUUCCUGGCUCCUCUUUUCCAUUCUGAAGACAUUAGCUACAGGGGCUAUUGAUCAACAAGUUGCCUGUCACUUCUUUGGGUGCAAAGGACAAGAGCCCUGUCACCUCAGUGCCACAGAAUAGAUGGAGAGGUAAAAGGUCAGAGAUGAAAGGCCUUUGAUUGUCUCUCCUUUGUAGUCAGCCUCCGGGAAGCACCUGCAGAGCUUCUGUUUACAUUGUCCUUGGGGAGGAAGGUGGAAAACUGUUGCACCCAGCACCUGCCUGAUGUAGGCAAGGCAGAACUCUUAUCUUCCUCAGGUGGUCACAGGGAGGGAGGGAUUGUUUGUGUGUAAGGCAGGUUGCCUUUUUAUGGAAAAAGCCCAUGCUUCCUAGGCUCUUCAUUUGUUGUGGACAUUGCCAGAGCCUCAUCCAUCUGGAAAGUGCAGUGUUGUUAGGCAUUGAGUGAAAAACACCCAAAUCAAUUUCCUCUAAGAAAAGAAAUGGGACCUCCUUUUUUUUCUCCUUUAAGAUCUGAUGACGCCAUUGAUUUCAUUGUUGAACCAGAGAAGAGCAGGUCAGGAGGGUUCAUCAUGAAACUAAGAGAAAGCAAGCUAGAAGAAAACGUGAUUUCUUACCCAACUCCACACAAAUUUGAGAGAUGACUUUGUGGCAGUUUUGCCAAGGAGUGGGAGCCUCAGUGUCCUUGAGGAAACAAAGGAGGAAAUAGAGAGGUAAAAUUUGUUAGACACUGAAGGAAGAAUAUGUUCUACUUUCAUAAGGAAUGUUGAACUUUCUCUCCUGUUCCCCUUAACUAUACAGGUAAUGAGACAUGUGAGGAGCCGCCCUCACAUUUGCCAUUAUAAGAUGGCGCUGACAGCUGUGUUCUAAGUGGUAAACAUAGUCUGCACACGUGCAGGGGCAGUUUUCCCGCCAUGUGUUCUGCCUUUCCCGUCAUGACAACUGGGCCGAUGGGCUGCAGCCAAUCAGGGAGUAAUACGUCCUAGGCGGAGGAUAAUUCUCCUUAAAAGGGGCGGGGUUUUGCCAUUCUCUCUCUUGCACUCUUGCGCUCUCUUGCUCUCUUGCUCUCUUGCUCUCUUGCGCUCUGGCCCCUGAAGAUGUAAGCAAUAAAGCUCUUGCUCUUGCUCUCUUGCUCUCUGGC
RNAcentral lists this long non-coding RNA (1637 nucleotides) under Mus spicilegus (steppe mouse). RNAcentral's name for it is "lncRNA (ENSMSIG00000023531.1)". The record is from RNAcentral. Lineage: Eukaryota; Metazoa; Chordata; Mammalia; Rodentia; Muridae.